Paramuricea clavata is the source of this 333-nucleotide non-coding RNA. The record is from the annotation of a GenBank genome assembly. NCBI's taxonomy places the organism in Eukaryota, Metazoa, Cnidaria, Anthozoa, Malacalcyonacea, Plexauridae.
GCACAAAAUAUUACUCAUUAGUAUAAAUUUUGCAUAUCAAAUGAGCACGAUUUGACUGCGUAUCCCCGUAUCAUUGAAAAAUAAUAGUUACCCAUUCUCCUUUUAAACUACUCGAAUAAUACGCCAUUUUAAUGACUGCGUAUCCCCAUAUCCCCGUAUCAUUGAAAAAUAAUAGUUACCCAUUCUCCUCUUAAACUACUCGAAUAAUUACGUCAUUUUAAUGACUGCGUAUCCCCGUAUCCCCGUAUCAUUGAAAAAUAAUAGUUACCCAUUCUCCUUUUAAACUACUCCAAUAAUUACGUCAUUUUAAUGACUGCGUAUCCCCAUAUCCCC